AGGCCGCCACCGGCGCUAGGAUCCAGAUCGGCUUAAGGCCGCCGGGACCCGUAGCAAGCCAAACAUACAUCCUGUGAACCUGUUUAAUCCCAUACAUGGUCAACAACAUACAUAACAAUUAAAAACUUUUCUUUCAUUCAUUCAAACAUUUCUUUGCCAAGCCUAGCCUGUGCAUGCACAAUCAUAACAUAAACCUCUCAUUGGAAUCCUCAUCAAAUAUUCCAAUGGGGUAACAUAACAUAACAUAGGCUUGGAUUACAUAAUCAUCAUAAAAACAUUAUAUCUCAUACAAGACCAUGCGUACUGGGAAUACAACAGACUCUAGUCAAGCACAUUAUCAAACUUACAUUACAUUACAUCUCAUACUUAUACAUUACCAACAAACCAUGUCCACAGCUAAGCUAUUACAUAAACUUCUCUUACUCUGCUGACUUCUCUAUCUACUCUGCACCUGCAAGACUGGGGUUAGGGGAGAGGGGGUGAGCUAUAAAGCCCAAUGAGCGGAAACUAAAAAUAUUUGUUUUAAUUCCACCCUUUUUAGGUAUAUUAUUAUUCAUUUUAUUAUUAUUAUGAUUCCUCCAUUUUUAGGUAUAUUAAUUAUAUAACUUUUUCUUAUUCAUGCUUUCAUGGAAUGCAACACAUCACAGCUAAUCACAUAAAGGAUGAAUUUGUCACCAAUAGCCCUCUAAAUUUCCAUUCGUGCCAGAACGUAGAAUGGGUCCUGGUCUUUCUCUUACAUAGUGCCAGGGACGUAGAAUGGGUCUUCCUGGACUUCCAUACCAUAUCAUCAUCAUAUCAUGACAUAACAUACAAGGGCUAAUGGAUCACUCAACAUUCAUCCACAUCAACAUCAAUUUAUGCAAUGCAGCAUAUUCGUGAGUUCUAAUGCAAACAUCCUGAAAUAUUGCAUGGCAUAAUGAUGCAUGGGCAAUGCUUUAUGAUUCAUUCAUUUAUUCAUUUAUUCAUUCACUUUAAAACUUAAGAAGUUGUUCCACUCACCUGAUGACUGAAGCUGUAACAACGAACUCGGAACGACUAUCUCACAACCGGGGGUCUCGGUUCCUCGGGUCCGAACCUACACAGGUGGACUCAAAUGAGGCACCAAACAACAAGAACAUAACUCUAGACAUACCCCCAAAAACCUCCUAAAACAUCACCAAAACACUCCUAGGAAACAUGCAAGAAAAAGGCUGGACAGGGCACUUUCGGCGGCACCUUCGGCGGCCGAAAGUCCCUCC
RNAcentral lists this long non-coding RNA (1238 nucleotides) under Manihot esculenta (cassava). Its description in RNAcentral is "long non-coding RNA (MESC_LNC007116)". The record is from RNAcentral. Lineage: Eukaryota; Viridiplantae; Streptophyta; Magnoliopsida; Malpighiales; Euphorbiaceae.